AAGGGGGGGCAACUCCCCUAGUAGAGUGGCGCACGGGUGAGUAACGCGUGGGUAAUCUGCCCUUGAGUGGGGAAUAACCUCGCGAAAGCGGGGCUAAUACCGCAUAACAUCCUCUGGCCUUCGGGUUGGUGGAUCAAAGAUGACCUCUGCAUGCAAGUUGUCGCUCGAGGAGGAGCCCGCGUCCCAUUAGCUAGUUGGUAGGGUAACGGCCUACCAAGGCUACGAUGGGUAGCCGGCCUGAGAGGGUGACCGGCCACACUGGAACUGAGACACGGUCCAGACUCCUACGGGAGGCAGCAGUGAGGAAUAUUGCGCAAUGGACGAAAGUCUGACGCAGCGACGCCGCGUGGAGGAUGAAGGCCUUCGGG
RNAcentral lists this ribosomal RNA (368 nucleotides) under uncultured bacterium. Its description in RNAcentral is "bacterial SSU rRNA". It matches the Rfam family "Bacterial small subunit ribosomal RNA", at positions 71 to 422 of the family's 1533-position model. The record is from RNAcentral.